GAUGAACGCUGGCGGCGUGCUUAACACAUGCAAGUCGAGCGAAGCGGUUUAAAUGAGACUUCGGUGGAUUUUAAACUGACUGAGCGGCGGACGGGUGAGUAACGCGUGGAUAACCUGCCUCACACAGGGGGAUAACAGUUAGAAAUGACUGCUAAUACCGCAUAAGCGCACAGUACCGCAUGGUACAGUGUGAAAAACUCCGGUGGUGUGAGAUGGAUCCGCGUCUGAUUAGGUAGUUGGUGGGGUAACGGCCCACCAAGCCGACGAUCAGUAGCCGACCUGAGAGGGUGACCGGCCACAUUGGGACUGAGACACGGCCCAAACUCCUACGGGAGGCAGCAGUGGGGAAUAUUGCACAAUGGGCGAAAGCCUGAUGCAGCGACGCCGCGUGAGUGAAGAAGUAUCUCGGUAUGUAAAGCUCUAUCAGCAGGGAAGAAAAUGACGGUACCUGACUAAG
Molecule: ribosomal RNA, 457 nt
Filed under: uncultured bacterium
Lineage: Bacteria
Description: bacterial SSU rRNA
Rfam family: Bacterial small subunit ribosomal RNA
Source: RNAcentral